UGGUUAAUCAUAUAAUAAAAAUAUAUAUAUAUUUGUAAAAAAAAAAAAAACCCACGAUCCCACAAUUUCAGCAAUCUCCUUCUUCCUUUCCAAAAACAAAAAACCCAGCAACUCAAGAUGCUUCCCUAUCAAAUUUACGCGCUCACGAUUUUGUUUUCCCGCACUAAUUUCCCACUCUCCAAGCAAUCUCAAACCCACGAUCUUCAAUCUCAAACAUUGAAAUCAAACCGUAAAAACAAAAUCAAUC
Molecule: long non-coding RNA, 247 nt
Filed under: Trifolium pratense (red clover)
Lineage: Eukaryota; Viridiplantae; Streptophyta; Magnoliopsida; Fabales; Fabaceae
Description: long non-coding RNA (TPRA_LNC014082)
Source: RNAcentral